AUGAGGCUCAGCAGUUAAGCACCCCCUUGGUUCUAUCCGCUUACUGAAAGAAAGUAAGUCAAUAGAUGUGGCCAGCAGCAAUGUUGUCAUGAGGUUCCAAUGGUGAUUUUCUACUCCCUGCCUUUCUUCUACAUGGGUUUACUAUAGAAGACUUGUACAGAAGAUUUGUGUUUUUUUCUCUUUUGUUAAUUUAUUUAUUCAGUUUGUUGGAUAUAGAAUUGAACUCCAGAAAGAUUAAAGGUCAAAAGAAGAAAAAUGAGAAUACAAUGCCAAUCUGUGAAUCCAGAAAACAUUAUAAACACACCAAAAUACAAGUUUAAUCAACAACCAAGUGUUACUAGAGACAUUAAUGGGCAUAGUACAAUGUAUUUGAGGCAUACUUUAGUGUUUUGAAACUAAAAGAUAAUAAAUCAAUCUAAAAAAGAUAAUAAGCCAAUAUCUAGAAUUGCUAAACAUUCUUAGACAGGAACUAUAAAAACCACAAUAAUGACAGCAGAGGUAAGAGGUUGCCAUUUAAAAAAUCCACAAAGGAUGCCAGAAAAGGACAAGGAAAUCUAAAGAUAUGCUUAAUUUUCUAGUAACCACCUUGGGCCAGUAACUCUGGCAGGCGGGGAGCCAGGCUGCAGAUGUGCAGCGGCGGCGGCGGGAGGCCAAGUCCCGCUCCCUACUCCCGCUCCCCGCAGCAGGGGUAGGCUGUGGCAUCUCCUUGGGGCCUGCCGCCCAGGCGCUCUGAAGUGAGUGAGCGGCGGGAAGUGUCCAGCGGUCCGCGCCAGCAUCCGUCUGCUCUGCCUGCCAGGGACACUUGAGAGGCGGGGACUCGCGGUGGCGGAGCCCUCCAGGGCCGUGACCUUGGCGAGCCACUUCCCUGGAGCCCAGGUGUCUUCGCAGUGCCAGCCGGGCCAAGGGGACCUUGUGGCACCCAACUGCUCCAAGCCACGCCGGCUGCGGUCUUGGAGCGUGUUGCUGGCGGGAAGUUCCUGGUGGCCUUUGGCUCCUCCAAGCUCUGUGCUCCUGUGCCUAUCUGUGUCCCUCUGCUAUCCGUGACAGACAACAAAAUCAGAAUCUCCAAAUGUGUUGAUAUAAUAAAAGAGCUUUAAUCAACGUGAUAAUCAAUAUGUUCUCAUGUUCUGGGCAGGGAUCCAGAGGUUUGCCUCCAAGAGUCAAAGACAACUGGGUACCAUGAGGAAACACUGGAGAAAAAAUGCUGAGGGAAGAGUAGAAAUGGGAAGUUGGUCAUGUGGAAACUGAGUUCUUAAAGAGAGAAGAUGCCAAUGG
Molecule: non-coding RNA, 1275 nt
Organism: Ictidomys tridecemlineatus (thirteen-lined ground squirrel)
Lineage: Eukaryota; Metazoa; Chordata; Mammalia; Rodentia; Sciuridae
Source: RefSeq, a predicted model, not a curated record